This 85-nucleotide transfer RNA is filed under the name Claviceps humidiphila. RNAcentral describes it as "tRNA-Lys". It matches the Rfam family "tRNA". Rfam says of the family: Transfer RNA (tRNA) molecules are approximately 80 nucleotides in length. Lineage: Eukaryota; Fungi; Ascomycota; Sordariomycetes; Hypocreales; Clavicipitaceae. The record is from RNAcentral.
GCCCGGUUAGCUCAAUCGGUAGAGCGUGAGACUCUUACGAGCGUAUACAAUCUCAAGGUUGCGGGUUCGACCCCCGCAUCGGGCU